GUUGCUCAAAUCUUCACACACCUCUCCGUGGUGAGCAGCAGGCAACGGUUUUAUGACUGGCGGAGAUGUGAAG
Molecule: ribozyme, 73 nt
Filed under: unclassified sequences
Description: HDV ribozyme from F. prausnitzii
Rfam family: HDV ribozyme from F. prausnitzii
Source: RNAcentral